Molecule: ribosomal RNA, 466 nt
Filed under: uncultured bacterium
Lineage: Bacteria
Description: partial 16S ribosomal RNA
Rfam family: Bacterial small subunit ribosomal RNA
Source: RNAcentral
GAUGAACGCUGGCGGCGUGCUUAACACAUGCAAGUCGAACGAUGAAGCCCAGCUUGCUGGGUGGAUUAGUGGCGAACGGGUGAGUAACACGUGAGUAACCUGCCCUAGACUCUGGGAUAAGCCUGGGAAACUGGGUCUAAUACUGGAUAUGACUUCUCAUCGCAUGGUGGGGGGUGGAAAGAUUUAUUGGUCUUGGAUGGACUCGCGGCCUAUCAGCUUGUUGGUGAGGUAAUGGCUCACCAAGGCGACGACGGGUAGCCGGCCUGAGAGGGUGACCGGCCACACUGGGACUGAGACACGGCCCAGACUCCUACGGGAGGCAGCGGUGGGGAAUAUUGCACAAUGGGCGCAAGCCUGAUGCAGCGACGCCGCGUGAGGGAUGACGGCCUUCGGGUUGUAAACCUCUUUCAGUAGGGAAGAAGCGAGAGUGACGGUACCUGCAGAAGAAGCGCCGGCUAACUACGUG